This 231-nucleotide ribosomal RNA is filed under the name uncultured bacterium. RNAcentral's name for it is "partial 16S ribosomal RNA". It matches the Rfam family "Bacterial small subunit ribosomal RNA", at positions 89 to 334 of the family's 1533-position model. The record is from RNAcentral.
AGUACAGUGGCGUACGGGUGAGUAACACGUGGAUCAUCUACCUUUUAGUGGGGAAUACCACUGGGAAACCGGUGACAAUACCGCAUAAUCUCGAGAGAGGAAAGCCGCAAGGCGCUGAAAGAGGAGUCCGCGGCCGAUUAGCUAGUUGGUAGGGUAAUGGCCUACCAAGGCUUCGAUCGGUAGCCGGCCUGAGAGGGCACACGGCCACACUGGCACUGAAACACGGGCCAG